UCCGGUAUGGUGUAUCGGCUAGCAUCCGUCGCUUUCAUCCUGAUGUCAGCUUCCGACGAGAGCCGGGUUCGAUUCCCGGUACCGGAA
RNAcentral lists this transfer RNA (87 nucleotides) under Pyrenophora teres f. teres. RNAcentral's name for it is "tRNA-Glu". It matches the Rfam family "tRNA". From Rfam's summary of the family: Transfer RNA (tRNA) molecules are approximately 80 nucleotides in length. Their secondary structure includes four short double-helical elements and three loops (D, anti-codon, and T loops). RNAcentral also lists the same sequence under 2 other names. Lineage: Eukaryota; Fungi; Ascomycota; Dothideomycetes; Pleosporales; Pleosporaceae. The record is from RNAcentral.